Molecule: non-coding RNA, 520 nt
Filed under: uncultured Glomus
Lineage: Eukaryota; Fungi; Glomeromycota; Glomeromycetes; Glomerales; Glomeraceae
Also listed under: 1 other name
Description: SSU rRNA
Rfam family: Eukaryotic small subunit ribosomal RNA
Source: RNAcentral
AGCAGCCGCGGUAAUUCCAGCUCCAAUAGCGUAUAUUAAAGUUGUUGCAGUUAAAAAGCUCGUAGUUGAACUUCGGGGUCUACCCAUUGGUCAGGCUUAAUUGUCUGCACUGGUGAGAUGGAUCUCUACCUUCUGAGGAACUUUCAUGCCAUUUAUUUGGUGUGAUGGGAAAUCAGGACUGUUACUUUGAAAAAAUUAGAGUGUUUAAAGCAGACUAUCGUCUGAAUACAUUAGCAUGGAAUAAUGAAAUAGGACGGACUGAUUCUAUUUCGUUGGUUUCUAGGAUCACCGUAAUGAUUAAUAGGGAUAGUUGGGGGCAUUAGUAUUCAAUUGUCAGAGGUGAAAUUCUUGGAUUUAUUGAAGACUAACUACUGCGAAAGCAUUUGCCAAGGAUGUUUUCAUUAAUCAAGAACGAAAGUUAGGGGAUCGAAGACGAUCAGAUACCGUCGUAGUCUUAACCAUAAACUAUGCCGACUAGGGAUCGGACGAAGUUAAUUUUAUAAUGACGCGUUCGGCACCU